GGCAGCGUGCAUAACACAUGCAAGUCGAACGGUAGUAUUAUCUUCGGAUAAUAUGAGAGUGGCGAACGGGUGAGUAACACGUAAGAAUCUACCUUUAGGACGGGGAUAACUUCUGGAAACGGAUGCUAAUACCCGAUAUGCUGUGGAGUGAAAUGAAUUUCGCCUAAAGAUGAUCUUGCGUCUGAUUAGCUAGAUAGGGUGGUAAUGGCGCCCUAUGGCGACGAUCAGUAGCUGGUCUGAGAGGAUGGACAGCCACAUUGGGACUGAGACACGGCCCAAACUCCUACGGGAGGCAGCAGUGGGGAAUUUUCCGCAAUGGGCGAAAGCCUGACGGAGCGACGCUGCGUGAAGGAUGACGGCCUGAGGGUUGUAAACUUCUUUUCUCGAAGAAGAAUCAAUGACGGUAUUCGAGGAAUAAGCAUCGGCUAACUCUGUGCCAGCAGCCGCGGUAAGACAGAGGAUGCAAGUGUUAUUCGGAUUGAUUGGGCGUAAAGCGUCUGUAGGCGGUUUAGAAAGUCUUUUGUGAAAUACUUCAGCUCAACUGGGGCUCCGCAAAAGAAACUUCUAGACUUGAGGGAAGUAGAGGUACAGGGAAUUUCCGGUGGAGCGGUGAAAUGCGUA
Molecule: ribosomal RNA, 621 nt
Filed under: uncultured bacterium
Lineage: Bacteria
Description: bacterial SSU rRNA
Rfam family: Bacterial small subunit ribosomal RNA
Source: RNAcentral